ACUCCUACGGGAGGCAGCAGUCGGGAAUAUUGGACAAUGGGCGAAAGCCUGAUCCAGCAAUACCGCGUGUGUGAAGAAGGCCUGCGGGUUGUAAAGCACUUUCAGUUGGGAAGAUAAUGACGUUACCAACAGAAGAAGCACCGGCUAACUCCGUGCCAGCAGCCGCGGUAAUACGGAGGGUGCAAGCGUUAAUCGGAAUUACUGGGCGUAAAGCGCACGUAGGCGGUUUACUAAGUCGGAUGUGAAAUCCCCGGGCUCAACCUGGGAACUGCACCCGAUACUGGUAGACUAGAAUUUGGGAGAGGUGAGUGGAAUUUCCGGUGUAGCGGUGAAAUGCAUAGAGAUCGGAAGGAACACCAGUGGCGAAGGCGACUCACUGGACCAAAAUUGACGCUGAGGUGCGAAAGCGUGGGUAGCAAACAGGAUUAGAUACCCUGGUAGCUCGAUGU
This 449-nucleotide ribosomal RNA is filed under the name uncultured bacterium. Its description in RNAcentral is "bacterial SSU rRNA". It matches the Rfam family "Bacterial small subunit ribosomal RNA", at positions 335 to 800 of the family's 1533-position model. The record is from RNAcentral.